CAGUCGCCACGGGAAUACGGAGGGGGCUAGCGUUGUUCGGAAUUACUGGGCGUAAAGCGCACGUAGGCGGCUUGGUAAGUUAGAGGUGAAAGCCUGGAGCUCAACUCCAGAAUUGCCUUUAAGACUGCCGAGCUAGCAGGUGAGAGAGGUAAGUGGAAUUCCGAGUGUAGAGGUGAAAUUCGUAGAUAUUCGGAAGAACACCAGUGGCGAAGGCGGCUUACUGGCUCAUACUGGACGCUGAGGUGCGAAAGCGUGGGGAGCAAACAGGAUUAGAUACCCCCGUAGUCCCUGUCUCUUAUAA
Molecule: ribosomal RNA, 301 nt
Filed under: uncultured bacterium
Lineage: Bacteria
Description: partial 16S ribosomal RNA
Rfam family: Bacterial small subunit ribosomal RNA
Source: RNAcentral